Non-coding RNA from Lactifluus subvellereus, 95 nucleotides. The record is from the annotation of a GenBank genome assembly. NCBI's taxonomy places the organism in Eukaryota, Fungi, Basidiomycota, Agaricomycetes, Russulales, Russulaceae.
GGCGCUAUAGUGUAGUGGCUAUCACAACGGAUUCUGACUUUCCCCUUGGCAAAUAACAUUUUCCGUUAACCCAGGUUCGAACCCUGGUAGCGCCU